GGAUUAGGCAUGCAAGUCGCACGAGAUCCCGCUUCUGUGGGUGACAGUGGCGAAAGGGUGAGUAAUGCAUAGACAACCUACCUUCGAGCCUGGGAUAACUGGUGGAAACGCCAGCUAAUACCGGAUAGGCUCGCUGAGGUUUAUGCUUCGGCGAGUAAAGGUGGCCUCUUGGCAAUGCUACUACUUGAAGACGGGUCUAUGUCCUAUCAGCUUGUUGGUGAGGUAACGGCUCACCAUGGCGAUAACGGGUAGCCGACCUGAGAGGGUGACCGGCCACACUGGGACUGAGACACUGCCCAGACUCCUACGGGAGGCUGCAGUCGAGAAUCUUCCGCAAUGGGCGAAAGCCUGACGGAGCGACGCCGCGUGCGGGAUGAAGGCCUUCGGGUUGUAAACCGCUGUCACAGGUUAAGAACGGGUCAGUCGUUAAUAGCGGCUGGCUUUGACAAAUGCCUGAGAGGAAGCCACGGCUAACUUCGUGCCAGCAGCCGCGGUAAGACGAAGGUGGCGACCGUUGUUCGGAAUCACUGGGCAUAAAGCGCACGUAGGCGGGAGAGCAAGUCGGGUGUGAAAUCCCUCGGCCCAACCGAGGAACUGCGCCCGAAACUGCUCUCCUUGAGGACAGGAGGGGAGCGUGGAAUUCCUGGUGGAGCGGCGAAAUGCGUUGAUAUCAGGAGGAACACCGGCGGCGAAGGCGACGCUCUGGCCUGUUUCUGACGCUAAGGUGCGAAAGCCAGGGGAGCAAACGGGAUUAGAUACCCCGGUAGUCCUGGCCGUAAACGAUGGGCACUAAGUAGAGGGGUUUU
Molecule: ribosomal RNA, 806 nt
Filed under: uncultured Planctomycetota bacterium
Lineage: Bacteria; Pseudomonadati; Planctomycetota
Description: bacterial SSU rRNA
Rfam family: Bacterial small subunit ribosomal RNA
Source: RNAcentral